GCCUUGAUGGCCCAGUGGUUAGGACCCUGCACUUCCACUGCAGGGGGCGUGGGUUCAAUCCCUGGUCAGGGAA
This 73-nucleotide transfer RNA is filed under the name Bos taurus (domestic cattle). It matches the Rfam family "tRNA". From Rfam's summary of the family: Transfer RNA (tRNA) molecules are approximately 80 nucleotides in length. Their secondary structure includes four short double-helical elements and three loops (D, anti-codon, and T loops). The record is from Rfam by way of RNAcentral. RNAcentral also lists the same sequence under 1 other name. Lineage: Eukaryota; Metazoa; Chordata; Mammalia; Artiodactyla; Bovidae.